GCAAUGGAUAUGCAGUUGAUUUUGAUUCGUGGAAAAGAAGACUCUACAACUCGAAUAGAGUUUAAAGCAGGGAUGUUUACUCCGGCCGGGGUGCAAGGGAAUUUCUCCACAAAGCCUGCACACCCACCGCACAUUUUACCAAAACUUACAGAGUGUAGAUAUCCAUAUUCACUGGGUUACAUAACACAAACAUACG
Athene cunicularia (burrowing owl) is the source of this 196-nucleotide long non-coding RNA. RefSeq lists it as uncharacterized. The transcript has 3 exons. The record is from RefSeq and is a predicted model, not a curated record. Lineage: Eukaryota; Metazoa; Chordata; Aves; Strigiformes; Strigidae.